AAAAGCCGUAUGAGGGGAGACUGUCACGUACGGAUUUGAGAGGGCUUAGGGCUGAAAUGCUCUAUUCUACUCGAC
This is a non-coding RNA of Sphingobacteriales bacterium 50-39, 75 nucleotides long. The record is from Rfam. NCBI's taxonomy places the organism in Bacteria, Pseudomonadati, Bacteroidota, Sphingobacteriia, Sphingobacteriales.